This 377-nucleotide long non-coding RNA is filed under the name Phoenix dactylifera (date palm). Its description in RNAcentral is "long non-coding RNA (PDAC_LNC019416)". Lineage: Eukaryota; Viridiplantae; Streptophyta; Magnoliopsida; Arecales; Arecaceae. The record is from RNAcentral.
CUGGAUCUCUGCCGACGUCCUCAAAGAACGGACCCCGAGCAGAGGAGCGUCUUCAGUCGCCUCGGCGCAAGGACGCACACGGUACAAGGUACCCAUUUAUUUAAUGUUUCUACAUUAUCUUAUCUGCUUUUGGAUUUCUCUGCCGAUGUCCCCAAAGAACGGACCCCGAGCAGAGGAGCGUCUUCAGUCGCCUCGGCGCAAGGACGCACACGGUACUACCCAUUUAUUUAAUGUUUUUACAUUAUCUAUUCUAUUCUUGGAUUUCUCUCUGCCGGCGUCCUCAAAGAACGGACUCCGAGCAGGGGAGCAUCUUCGAUCGCCUUGGCGAAGGAAUGCUCGAGACACUAGCAAAUUAUACGAAGUCCGGUGAAUCCCCG